Molecule: long non-coding RNA, 490 nt
Filed under: Camelus dromedarius (Arabian camel)
Lineage: Eukaryota; Metazoa; Chordata; Mammalia; Artiodactyla; Camelidae
Description: lncRNA (ENSCDRG00005017443.1)
Source: RNAcentral
GGGGGAAAUGUUGACACGGGUGUGAGUAAUGGGAGUCUCUUUUCUUUUCUUCUCCUUCAAGAACAAGCCAGUACAAGUGAAUCUGGAAAAGGGGAGGGGACUCGCGAGGGGGAGAAGAUACUUACGCGGUGCGGAGAGCAGUGGGACCGAGCCUUUUUUUGCAGGCGGAGAGAGGAAAACCCGCGCGCGCACACACACGAUGGCAAACCUUUCCUACAGAAGCCGCCCAUCUGACCAACAAAACCACAGGACAAAAAGUUCUAUUCAAGGAGGGAACAAUAAGAAGGCAAAAAAGGUCAACAUUCCUAGGUUGGAAACCACAUCUGCCUUGUUGGCCGAGGUAUGCCCAGCGCUGGCCAGAGGACGCAUGCUUUGUGAAUCUCUGUGGAGUACAGGAGGGACUGUGGAGGGCAAGGAACUUAUUCAGGGUAGAUUUUCACUCCCCCUGAAGAAACGAAAUGAAAGCAAACUUUGGUGGUUUUUGUUUAAC